Molecule: ribosomal RNA, 730 nt
Filed under: uncultured bacterium
Lineage: Bacteria
Description: bacterial SSU rRNA
Rfam family: Bacterial small subunit ribosomal RNA
Source: RNAcentral
GGCGAACGGGUGAGUAACACGUGAGCAAUCUGCCCUUGACUCUGGGAUAACUGCGGGAAACUGUAGCUAAUACCGGAUACGACCUUGGAAGGCAUCUUCUGGGGUGGAAAGAAUUUUGGUCAAGGAUGAGCUCGCGGCCUAUCAGCUAGUUGGUGAGGUAAUGGCUCACCAAGGCGACGACGGGUAGCCGGCCUGAGAGGGUGACCGGCCACACUGGGACUGAGACACGGCCCAGACUCCUACGGGAGGCAGCAGUGGGGAAUAUUGCACAAUGGGCGCAAGCCUGAUGCAGCGACGCCGCGUGGGGGAUGAAGGCCUUCGGGUUGUAAACCUCUUUCAGUAGGGAAGAAGCGAAAGUGACGGUACCUGCAGAAGAAGCGCCGGCUAACUACGUGCCAGCAGCCGCGGUAAUACGUAGGGCGCAAGCGUUAUCCGGAAUUAUUGGGCGUAAAGAGCUCGUAGGCGGUUUGUCGCGUCUGCCGUGAAAGUCCGGGGCUUAACUCCGGAUCUGCGGUGGGUACGGGCAGACUAGAGUGAUGUAGGGGAGACUGGAAUUCCUGGUGUAGCGGUGAAAUGCGCAGAUAUCAGGAGGAACACCGAUGGCGAAGGCAGGUCUCUGGGCAUUAACUGACGCUGAGGAGCGAAAGCAUGGGGAGCGAACAGGAUUAGAUACCCUGGUAGUCCAUGCCGUAAACGUUGGGCACUAGGUGUGGGGGACAUUCCACGUUUU